This 565-nucleotide ribosomal RNA is filed under the name Campylobacter jejuni. RNAcentral describes it as "partial 23S ribosomal RNA". It matches the Rfam family "Bacterial large subunit ribosomal RNA", at positions 1 to 587 of the family's 2925-position model. The record is from RNAcentral. Lineage: Bacteria; Pseudomonadati; Campylobacterota; Epsilonproteobacteria; Campylobacterales; Campylobacteraceae.
AGGUAAGCUACUAAGAGCGAAUGGUGGAUGCCUUGACUGGUAAAGGCGAUGAAGGACGUACUAGACUGCGAUAAGCUACGGGGAGCUGUCAAGAAGCUUUGAUCCGUAGAUUUCCGAAUGGGGCAACCCAAUGUAUAGAGAUAUACAUUACCUAUAUAGGAGCGAACGAGGGGAAUUGAAACAUCUUAGUACCCUCAGGAAAAGAAAUCAAUAGAGAUUGCGUCAGUAGCGGCGAGCGAAAGCGCAAGAGGGCAAACCCAGUGCUUGCACUGGGGGUUGUAGGACUGCAAUGUGCAAGAGGUAAGUUUAGCAGAACAUUCUGGAAAGUAUAACCAUAGAGGGUGAUAGUCCCGUAUGCGAAAAACAAACCUUAGCUAGCAGUAUCCUGAGUAGGGCGGGACACGAGGAAUCCUGUCUGAAUCCGGGUCGACCACGAUCCAACCCUAAAUACUAAUACCAGAUCGAUAGUGCACAAGUACCGUGAGGGAAAGGUGAAAAGAACUGAGGUGAUCAGAGUGAAAUAGAACCUGAAACCAUUUGCUUACAAUCAUUCAGAGCCCUAUGU